UGAGGAAUAUUGGGCAAUGCCCGCAAGGGUGACCCAGCAACGCCGCGUGGAGGAUGAAUGUCGUAAGAUUGUAAACUCCUGUUAGAGGGGAAGAAUAGUACCGGUUGGACCGGUAUAUGACUGUACCCUCAGAGAAAGCCCCGGCUAACUACGUGCCAGCAGCCGCGGUAAUACGUAGGGGGCAAGCGUUGUCCGGAUUUACUGGGUGUAAAGGGCGCGCAGGCGGGAUAAAAAGUCAGUGGUGAAAUCCUACAGCUUAACUGUAGAACUGCCUUUGAUACUUUUAUUCUUGAGUUCGGGAGAGAGAGACGGAAUUCCAGGUGUAGUGGUGAAAAACGUAGAUAUCUGGAAGAACACCAGUUGCGAAGGCGGUCUCUUGGUCCGACACUGACGCUGAGGCGCGAAAGCGUGGGGAGCAAACA
Molecule: ribosomal RNA, 422 nt
Filed under: uncultured bacterium
Lineage: Bacteria
Description: bacterial SSU rRNA
Rfam family: Bacterial small subunit ribosomal RNA
Source: RNAcentral